GGGGCUCCAUUGUGUGCUGGGAGUUCUGCCCCCGGGAAGAACUUUUCAAAAGCACUUCCUUAGGGCAAGUUGGAACUUGCUUCCCCAGAACUACCACCUCCUGGCCCACUGCUGACAUUACAGAGGCACUCAGAGAAAAGAUUGUGGCCCUUUCCCGCUGAAGAAUUUUGGGGAAACCCAGACAGCUCCCAUAUUUGAUCUCAUAUCCAGUUCCUUUCUGGAGGACUGUGUCUGCAGUGCAGUGGAGAGCUGUGGCCACCUGGACCCUGAGACUGGCCGUCAUCUCUGUCUGUUGUCAGCAGCACCUUGAAGACCUGAUUCCUUCCACAGCUCAGAAUAGGCAGGACUAAGAUAGGAACCUAGAGCUGUCAGCCUCCCACCACCGUCUUCUGAACUGCGGGGCGAUACUGCCCUUGGACAGCUCGGUUCUACCUUACACACCAGCUUAUCCACCUGGGUGGAGGGAGGGGUGAAAAUGACAUGGUGGCAAAAAAGGGAUGACCAAUUCCUUUUUAUCCCAUCAGAGUAGGCCGAUGUGACCUAACUGAGAUGGCAGAGAAACGUGUAAAAUAUUUCAGAAACAUUUCCAUUAGAAUGCUUAAAAUAACUUAUUUAUUAUUCCAUGGUGAUGCACUCUAAAUGAAGUUCUUUUGUAGGCAAUGGGAGCAAGGCUGACAUGGCUUUAAAUUCUGGCUCUGCUUUUACUAGGUUUGUAAACCUGAGCAAAUAAGCCAACCUCUCUGAACCGCCGUCUGUUAUCUAUAGGGUGGGCUUCAUAACACAACUCACAGUGCUGUUGAAGGCGUUGAAUGGUAAACUGCGUUCAGGGCAUAAAGCACCAGGCGAUGCAUCUGGCACGUAAGGAGAAAGGAAAUCAAAUUUAUAAGAUAAAAAUUAAAGGAUGUAGCAAUCUGGAGAAGACAUUCCAAGACAUGGAUAUGCAACAAAAAUAUAUUUUUAUACCCUUUGAGCAAGAGAAUACGGCAAGCGUGGGGGCUGGGGUUGGAACAGCAGGUGACAUGCUACUCCCUUCACUAUAGAUUCAUCAAGGAG
Molecule: long non-coding RNA, 1053 nt
Filed under: Equus caballus (horse)
Lineage: Eukaryota; Metazoa; Chordata; Mammalia; Perissodactyla; Equidae
Description: lncRNA (ENSECAG00000058753.1)
Source: RNAcentral